AUGCAGAAGACAUGCAAGGUUCCUAAUCCUGAAUAUAUGGUGGUAGAUGAUGAUAUACCUAUAGAGGAUCCAUCUACACCUACAAACAAAAGGAAGAAAUGUGGUGAAACAACGGCUACAAUAGAUGGUGAUGCAGCAGAUGAUGAAGUCCUUAUCAAUCUUAUAAGGAAAAGGGCCAGAACAGCUCCACAGAAGCCGAAGGCACCUGAAAAGAAAAAGACUCCUGUGAAGAAAGCUACAACACAACAGAAAACCAAAAAGAAGACCCCCGUGAAGAAAGUUGCAUCACAAGAGAAAGCCAAGAGGAAGACAUCUAAAGGGCAGAAAGUCAAGAAGAAUGUUCCAUUUGCGCCUGUUAUACCUCCACCUCCACCUACAGAAGGGCAGCCUACAAAUGGUGCAAAAAGAAGCCUUCUUUAUUGGCUUGGUGGCUAG
Molecule: ribosomal RNA, 435 nt
Filed under: Triticum aestivum (bread wheat)
Lineage: Eukaryota; Viridiplantae; Streptophyta; Magnoliopsida; Poales; Poaceae
Description: partial small subunit ribosomal RNA
Source: RNAcentral